This is a non-coding RNA of Absidia glauca, 71 nucleotides long. Lineage: Eukaryota; Fungi; Mucoromycota; Mucoromycetes; Mucorales; Cunninghamellaceae. The record is from Rfam.
GCAUCAAUAGUUUAAGGGUAGAAUAUUAGCCUUCCAAGCUGAUGGCCAGGGUUCGAGUCCCUGUUGAUGCA